GCGGAAUGGGCCGCAGCCUGAUGCAGCCAUGCCGCGUGUAUGAGAAGGCCUUCGGGUUGUAAAGUACUUUCAGCGGGGAGGAAGGGAGUAAAGUUAAUACCUUUGCUCAUUGACGUUACCCGCAGAAGAAGCACCGGCUAACUCCGUGCCAGCAGCCGCGGUAAUA
This 166-nucleotide ribosomal RNA is filed under the name uncultured Gammaproteobacteria bacterium. Its description in RNAcentral is "partial 16S ribosomal RNA". It matches the Rfam family "Bacterial small subunit ribosomal RNA", at positions 366 to 525 of the family's 1533-position model. The record is from RNAcentral. Lineage: Bacteria; Pseudomonadati; Pseudomonadota; Gammaproteobacteria.